Molecule: ribosomal RNA, 497 nt
Filed under: uncultured bacterium
Lineage: Bacteria
Description: partial 16S ribosomal RNA
Rfam family: Bacterial small subunit ribosomal RNA
Source: RNAcentral
GAUGAACGCUGGCGGCGUGCCUAAUACAUGCAAGUCGAGCGAACAGAUGAGGAGCUUGCUCCUUUGACGUUAGCGGCGGACGGGUGAGUAACACGUGUAUAACCUACCUAUAAUACUGGGAUAACUUCGGGAAUCCGGAGCUAAUACCGGAGAAUAUAUUGAACCGCAGGGUGCAUUGGUAAAAGUCGGUUUUGCUGUCACUUAUAGAUGGAUCCGCGCCGCAUUGGCGAGUUGGUAAGGUAACGGCUUACCAAGGCUACGAGGCGUAGCCGACCGGAGGGGAUGGUCAGCCGCACUGGGACGGAGACACGGUCCAGACGCCUACGGGAGGCACCAGUAGGGAAACGUCCGGCAUGAGCGAAAGCCUGACGGCGCAGCGCCGCGUGAGUGAUGAGGAUCUUCGGAUCGUAGAACACUGUUAUUAGGGAAGAACAAAUGUGUAAGUAACUAUGCACGUCUUGACGGUAAAUGAGCAGAGAACCACGGCUAACUUCGUG